Molecule: long non-coding RNA, 549 nt
Organism: Oenanthe melanoleuca
Lineage: Eukaryota; Metazoa; Chordata; Aves; Passeriformes; Muscicapidae
Exons: 3
Source: RefSeq, a predicted model, not a curated record
GCCUGAGCGCUAAGCACUGCCGGGGCUGUGUUGGGGUUUGGUGCGGGAGGUUCCUGUGCUGGAAAUAAGCCUGGAAUCCCGGGGGGGUGCUGGGAAUGGCCACUUCUCACAUGCCCUCUGCGCCCUCAGGCCGCGCUCUCCCAACCAGACCGACCGUCUCCCCAAAGAAUCAUGAGCUGAAGCAACUUCGGGUUAAGAUAGCUGCAAGGGAGCCUUGCUGUGGGAUUGAACAGAUAAGAGGUGACCUUAGGACUGUGGAGGUGUGGCAUCGACUCCGAGCCGAGCUUUGUUUCUGGCUGAGUUUUAGAUUCAGGCAGCGUGUUUAUCUGGCUUUUUGCUUUAUGGUGUGAGCCUGACACCUGCGCCUUCCCCUCCAACAGACCCAGCAGCUCACUCUGCAGCUCUGGGUUUGUGGAGAGGAGUCCCAGUCCAGCCUGCAGAGAGAUGCAUGAAGCUGAAUACACAUGUGGAGUGUUAAGCUCGACUGAAGUAAAGCUCUUAAAACCUGCUAUCUGCUCAAGAAUUUUUUGUUUUGUACCAGUCUCUUUG